Molecule: non-coding RNA, 155 nt
Organism: Taeniopygia guttata (zebra finch)
Lineage: Eukaryota; Metazoa; Chordata; Aves; Passeriformes; Estrildidae
Source: RefSeq, a predicted model, not a curated record
UUGUGACCUUGGAAUCAGGGUUCCCUCAAGAUUGAGAGACCCCUUUGGGAUUGGGGUCCCUCAGGAUUGGGGCUCUCAGAGCUGGGGGUCCCUGGGGAUGGGGCUCUCACCUUCAGGAAGGAAGAGGACGGGAAGGUGCCGAAGGUGGUGGAGAC